AGGAGUAUUGUAACCCACACUGGAGCUUCCACUGCUAAAGCUGGAUCUAAUGCACAUGGUGACAAAAGGAAAAGGCCAGUCUCCAAAAACAAGUAGGUGGUACUGUGCUGGUUUGUUUUUUUCUAAUGUUAACUACUCUUCCAUGUUACAGCCAAAUGAUCUCUCUGUCUUCUCCAGGGCAUCCAAAAGUAACAAGAAGACCGCCAAUGCUACUGGUGUUGUAGUUCAAGCUGAUACCAAUGAUCUCAAUCAACCUACCAAUGAUCUCAAUCAACCUACCAAUGAUCUCAAUCAACCUACCAAUGAUAUAAAUCAACCAAGACCUUUGGUUACCUUGAAUGAUUACAACGAGUACGCAACCAAUCUUCUAUUGUUGUUAUAUCUUUGCAUGUCUACUGUGCCCUGAGUUACUUCCUAUUGUGAGAUGUACUUUGGUCACAUAUUACUGUGCCCUUUCUCAAAACAUAAAACACCAAAUUUAGAGCCCCUAUUUUAUUAUUCAAAAGUAGCCUUCUCUGCAAAUUAAAUAUAUGCCAACUUCAAGAGGAG
RNAcentral lists this long non-coding RNA (549 nucleotides) under Hordeum vulgare. Its description in RNAcentral is "long non-coding RNA (HVUL_LNC006386)". Lineage: Eukaryota; Viridiplantae; Streptophyta; Magnoliopsida; Poales; Poaceae. The record is from RNAcentral.